Molecule: ribosomal RNA, 629 nt
Filed under: Pseudarthrobacter sp.
Lineage: Bacteria; Bacillati; Actinomycetota; Actinomycetes; Micrococcales; Micrococcaceae
Description: bacterial SSU rRNA
Rfam family: Bacterial small subunit ribosomal RNA
Source: RNAcentral
GGGAUAAGCCUGGGAAACUGGGUCUAAUACCGGAUAUGACUCCYCAUCGCAUGGUGGGGGGUGGAAAGCUUUUUGUGGUUUUGGAUGGACUCGCGGCCUAUCAGCUUGUUGGUGAGGUAAUGGCUUACCAAGGCGACGACGGGUAGCCGGCCUGAGAGGGUGACCGGCCACACUGGGACUGAGACACGGCCCAGACUCCUACGGGAGGCAGCAGUGGGGAAUAUUGCACAAUGGGCGGAAGCCUGAUGCAGCGACGCCGCGUGAGGGAUGACGGCCUUCGGGUUGUAAACCUCUUUCAGUAGGGAAGAAGCGUAAGUGACGGUACCUGCAGAAGAAGCGCCGGCUAACUACGUGCCAGCAGCCGCGGUAAUACGUAGGGCGCAAGCGUUAUCCGGAAUUAUUGGGCGUAAAGAGCUCGUAGGCGGUUUGUCGCGUCUGCCGUGAAAGUCCGGGGCUCAACUCCGGAUCUGCGGUGGGUACGGGCAGACUAGAGUGAUGUAGGGGAGACUGGAAUUCCUGGUGUAGCGGUGAAAUGCGCAGAUAUCAGGAGGAACACCGAUGGCGAAGGCAGGUCUCUGGGCAUUAACUGACGCUGAGGAGCGAAAGCAUGGGGAGCGAACAGGAUUAGA